RNAcentral lists this unclassified non-coding RNA (218 nucleotides) under Coccidioides posadasii. RNAcentral describes it as "intzernal transcribed spacer 1". Lineage: Eukaryota; Fungi; Ascomycota; Eurotiomycetes; Onygenales; Onygenaceae. The record is from RNAcentral.
AAGUGGCGUCCGGCUGCGCACCUCCCCCGCGGGGGUUCGCGCGGUCCGUACCUCCCACCCGUGUUUACUGAACCAUUGUUGCCUUGGCAGGCCUGCCGGGCCUCCGGCUGCCGGGGAUCGCCCGCCUUGCGCGGCGUCCCGGGCGCGCGCCUGCCAGCGGAUCAAUUGAACUCUUAUGUGAAGAUUGUCAGUCUGAGCAUCAUAGCAAAAAUCAAACA